This 717-nucleotide long non-coding RNA is filed under the name Androctonus crassicauda. Lineage: Eukaryota; Metazoa; Arthropoda; Arachnida; Scorpiones; Buthidae. The record is from RNAcentral.
AACGAUAGUUUCGUUUAAUUUAAGAAAUUUGUGUUGAUGAGGAAAUAAAUAUGGAUAAUCAACUGAACUUGCUUCUCAGUUCGCGCAGACUCAGUAAGGGACUUCGGAGUCGACUCCUCGCGUGCGAACUGAACACUGAUGCCAGAGUCAAUGGAGUCGAAUUCUCGCGACUCCAGGCUUCAUUCGUGCACAACACUAGUGGUAAUGUCUAAACACGAAUAGACACUGAAGCGAAAAGAAAUUAUGAAUUUAAGAUUUAACACAAGAUGUCUUCGAAAGAGACAACUAAAGAAUUAUUUGUGGAGAUACACCUAGAUGAAGAUAUGCAAACAGACGAUGAUUACGAUGAAAAUCUGCAGAAAGUUAUUGGUAAGAUUGAUGCUAUCCCAUGUUAUAGUUUAACUAUCCAUCCAUCUGCUUAUAUAUACUGUAUAAGAUUGGUAAAAGUAAACAAACAGUUCUCAUGCUUGUAUCUAUUCUUGUAAGUUAGCAAUUUGAUAUAUUUUUUUGUUAAAUGGUUUUUGAAUUACAGUAAUAGUUUAAUUAAAAUAUGAAUAAUUGGAACUGACAUUAUUAUUGUAACACAAACUUUUCAGCAAAAUUUAAUUGUUGUUGAGAAAGUUUUAGUUUUUAAGGCAAUAGAAAUGAUGGAGAAUUGACAUAAGAAACCUAAUUGUUCUCAAUGGAUGCACAAGAUAAGUACAUAUGGAAUCAAAA